ACGCAGUAGCAAUACUGAGUGGCAAACGGGUGAGUAACGCGUGGGCGACCUGCCUUCGAGUGGGGGAUAACUUCUGGAAACGGGAGCUAAUACCCAAUAUGCUGUGGAGUGAAAGAAUUUCGCCGAAAGACGAUCUUGCGUCUGAUUAGCUAGUUGGGGUGGUAAUGGCACACCAAGCCGACGAUCCAUAGCUGGUUUGAGAGGAUGAUCAGCCACACUGGGACUGAGACACGGUCCAGACUCC
This 244-nucleotide ribosomal RNA is filed under the name uncultured bacterium. Its description in RNAcentral is "partial 16S ribosomal RNA". It matches the Rfam family "Bacterial small subunit ribosomal RNA", at positions 66 to 339 of the family's 1533-position model. The record is from RNAcentral.